CCUAGCUCUGUCCCAUGGCAGGAUAUGGACGGGGAGCGGCAAACUGUCCUCCUCCUCUCUCCCGGGUAGGACAGCAGGUUCCCAGACCUGGGAAAACCUCCAGGAGGAGCACUUGGCACUUGCAGAGGCUGGAUUUUCUGCGUGGCAGGAUGAGAGCUCCACAGAGACGGUGUGGACCCGGAAGCCUGGACCACUCAGAGCCCCGAGAGGCUGAGUCACACCCACAUGUGUGAGAAACACCGACAGUGUCACAGCAUCGAAGGAUGUUGGAAAUCGAAAACAGCUGGAUUCCAGGCAGCUUGUCCAAACCUUCUCCUGAAGGAGGAACCCGUUCUCCAAAGUUCUCAAAGAUGAUCCUUCCCACCCUCCCUUCCACAAAUAUUUGGAGCACGCACGCUUUGUCAGGCACUGCGCUGGUCCUGGGGCAGUAACGGAGACAGAUAUGGGCCUCGUCCUCACCGAGCUGACAGUCUAGCACUUGAAAGUCUCUGCAAACAAUUUCUGUUGAAUACCUCCCGUAACAGGAUGCUCGCCACCUUACAGGACGGCCUCUUUUUUUUUUUUUUUUUUUUUUUUUUUCCGGUCAGUUUUUCCUUAUUUAAACUGUGAUGCUUGUUCUGACCUCUGGGGCUAUACAAAACAAGUCUAACCCCAUUUCCUAUGUCAGUGCCCUUAGAACGUGGAAAAAUAAACAUGGUACGCUCAGAAAACA
Long non-coding RNA from Felis catus (domestic cat), 712 nucleotides. RefSeq lists it as uncharacterized. The transcript has 4 exons. The record is from RefSeq and is a predicted model, not a curated record. NCBI's taxonomy places the organism in Eukaryota, Metazoa, Chordata, Mammalia, Carnivora, Felidae.